CCUACGGGAGGCAGCAGUGGGGAAUUUUCCGCAAUGGGCGAAAGCCUGACGGAGCAAUACCGCGUGAGGGAGGAAGGCUCUUGGGUUGUAAACCUCUUUUCUCAGGGAAGAAGCUCUGACGGUACCUGAGGAAUCAGCAUCGGCUAACUCCGUGCCAGCAGCCGCGGUAAGACGGAGGAGGCAAGCGUUAUCCGGAAUUAUUGGGCGUAAAGCGUCCGCAGGUGGCUCUUCAAGUCUGCUGUUAAAGCCCAGGGCUCAACCCUGGAGAAGCAGUGGAAACUGGGGAGCUAGAGUGUGGUAGGGGCAGAGGGAAUUCCCGGUGUAGCGGUGAAAUGCGUAGAGAUCGGGAAGAACACCAGUGGCGAAAGCGCUCUGCUGGACCACAACUGACACUCAUGGACGAAAGCUAGGGGAGCGAAUGGGAUUAGAUACCCCAGUAGUCCUAGCCGUAAACGAUGGACACUAGGUGUUGCGCGUAUCGACCCGUGCAGUGCCGUAGCCAACGCGUUAAGUGUCCCGCCUGGGGAGUACGCUCGCAAGAGUGAAACUCAAAGGAA
RNAcentral lists this ribosomal RNA (557 nucleotides) under uncultured bacterium. RNAcentral's name for it is "bacterial SSU rRNA". It matches the Rfam family "Bacterial small subunit ribosomal RNA", at positions 338 to 909 of the family's 1533-position model. The record is from RNAcentral.